GCCCAUGUACCGUCGCAGGCCUUCUAUCCUGACAGACGUAAUGGAUGAUGCAGGUUCGACCCCUGCCAUGGGCUCCA
Molecule: transfer RNA, 77 nt
Filed under: Ensifer meliloti
Lineage: Bacteria; Pseudomonadati; Pseudomonadota; Alphaproteobacteria; Hyphomicrobiales; Rhizobiaceae
Description: Sinorhizobium meliloti tRNA-OTHER
Source: RNAcentral